This 785-nucleotide ribosomal RNA is filed under the name uncultured archaeon. Its description in RNAcentral is "bacterial SSU rRNA". It matches the Rfam family "Archaeal small subunit ribosomal RNA", at positions 142 to 928 of the family's 1478-position model. The record is from RNAcentral.
GGGUAUAAUACCCGAUAGGUCUCGAUUGCUGGAAUGCAUAGAGAUUUAAAGCUCCGCCGCCUAAGGAUGGGUCUGCGGCCUAUCAGGUAGUAGUGGGUGUAGCGUACCUACUAGCCUACGACGGGUACGGGUUGUGAGAGCAAGAGCCCGGAGAUGGAUUCUGAGACACGAAUCCAGGCCCUACGGGGUGCAGCAGGCGCGAAAACUUUACAAUGCUGGCAACAGCGAUAAGGGAACCUCGAGUGCCAGGUUACAAAUCUGGCUGUCGAGAUGCCUAAAAAGCAUUUCAUAGCAAGGGCCGGGCAAGACCGGUGCCAGCCGCCGCGGUAACACCGGCGGCUCGAGUGGUAACCGUUAUUAUUGGGUCUAAAGGGUCUGUAGCCGGCCGGAUAAGUCUCUUGAGAAAUCUGGCAGCUUAACUGUCAGGCUUUCAGGAGAUACUGUCUGGCUCGAGGCCGGGAGAGGUGAGAGGUACUUCAGGGGUAGGGGUGAAACCUUGUAAUCCUUGAAGGACCACCAGAGGCGAAGGCGUCUCACCAGAACGGACCUGACGGCAAGGGACGAAAGCUAGGGGCACGAACCGGAUUAGAUACCCGGGUAGUCCUAGCCGUAAACGAUACUCGCUAGGUGUCGGCCACGGUGCGACCGUUGUCGGUGCCGUAGGGAAGCCGUGAAGCGAGCCACCUGGGAAGUACGGCCGCAAGGCUGAAACUUAAAGGAAUUGGCGGGGGAGCACCACAACGGGUGGAGCUUGCGGUUUAAUUGGAUUCAACGCCGGGAAGGGC